UACGAGGGGUCCUAGCGUUGUUCGGAAUCAUUGGGCGUAAAGAGUAUGUAGGCGGCUAGAUAAGUCAGGUGUGAAAUCCCCGGGCUCAACCCGGGAAGUGCAUUUGAUACUGUCUAGCUUGAGUAUGGAAGAGGGUAGUGGAAUUCCUGGUGUAGUGGUGAAAUACGUAGAUAUCAGGAGGAACACCGGUGGCGAAGGCGGCUACCUGGUCCUAUACUGACGCUGAGAUACGAAAGCGUGGGGAGCAAACA
This 251-nucleotide ribosomal RNA is filed under the name uncultured bacterium. RNAcentral's name for it is "partial 16S ribosomal RNA". It matches the Rfam family "Bacterial small subunit ribosomal RNA", at positions 524 to 774 of the family's 1533-position model. The record is from RNAcentral.